RNAcentral lists this ribosomal RNA (460 nucleotides) under uncultured bacterium. RNAcentral's name for it is "partial 16S ribosomal RNA". It matches the Rfam family "Bacterial small subunit ribosomal RNA", at positions 338 to 795 of the family's 1533-position model. The record is from RNAcentral.
CCUACGGGCGGCAGCAGUGAGGAAUAUUGGUCAAUGGGCUUACGCCUGAACCAGCCAAGUCGCGUGAGGGAAGACUGCCCUAUGGGUUGUAAACCUCUUUUGUCAGGGAGCAACGCCGGCUACGUGUAGCCGGACUGAGAGUACCUGAAGAAAAAGCCUCGGCUAACUCCGUGCCAGCAGCCGCGGUAAUACGGAGGAUGCGAGCGUUAUCCGGAUUUAUUGGGUUUAAAGGGUGCGUAGGCGGAAUGCCAAGUCAGCGGUAAAAUCGCGGGGCUCAACCUCGCGCCGCCGUUGAAACUGGCGGUCUUGAGUGGGCGAGAAGUAUGCGGAAUGCGUGGUGUAGCGGUGAAAUGCAUAGAUAUCACGCAGAACUCCGAUUGCGAAGGCAGCAUACCGGCGCCCAACUGACGCUGAAGCACGAAAGCGUGGGUAUCGAACAGGAUUAGAUACCCGAGUAGUC